Molecule: ribosomal RNA, 468 nt
Filed under: uncultured bacterium
Lineage: Bacteria
Description: partial 16S ribosomal RNA
Rfam family: Bacterial small subunit ribosomal RNA
Source: RNAcentral
GACGAACGCUGGCGGCGUGCUUAACACAUGCAAGUCGAACGGAAGGGCCCUGCUUUUGUGUGGUGCUCGAGUGGCGAACGGGUGAGUAACACGUGAGUAACCUUCCCUGGACUUUGGGAUAACUGCAGGAAGCUGGUGCUAAUGCCGGAUAGGAGCUCCUGCUGCAGGGUGGGGGUUGGAAAGUUUCGGCGGUUGGGGAUGGACUCGCGGGUUAUCAGCUGGUUGGUGGGGUAGUGGCUUACCAAGGGUUUGACGGGUGGCCGGCCUGAGAGGGUGAACGGCCACAUUGGGACUGAGAUACGGCCCAGACUCCUACGGGAGGCAGCAGUGGGGAAUAUUGUACAAUGGGCGGAAGCGUGAUGCAGAAACGCCGCGUGCGGGAUGACGGCCAUGGGGUUGUAAACCGCUUUAGGCUGUGACGAAGCGGGAGUGACGGUAAUGGCUAAAGAAGCACCGGCUAACUACGUG